RNAcentral lists this ribosomal RNA (119 nucleotides) under Triticum aestivum (bread wheat). Lineage: Eukaryota; Viridiplantae; Streptophyta; Magnoliopsida; Poales; Poaceae. The record is from RNAcentral.
GGAUGCGAUCAUACAAGCACUAAAGCACCGGAUCCCAUCAGAACUCCGAAGUUAAGCGUGCUUGGGCGAGAGUAGUAAUAGGAUGGGUGACCUCCUGGGAAGUCCUCGUGUUGCAUUCC